RNAcentral lists this transfer RNA (72 nucleotides) under Neocallimastix californiae. It matches the Rfam family "tRNA". From Rfam's summary of the family: Transfer RNA (tRNA) molecules are approximately 80 nucleotides in length. Their secondary structure includes four short double-helical elements and three loops (D, anti-codon, and T loops). RNAcentral also lists the same sequence under 2 other names. The record is from Rfam by way of RNAcentral. Lineage: Eukaryota; Fungi; Neocallimastigomycota; Neocallimastigomycetes; Neocallimastigales; Neocallimastigaceae.
GGGGUAUUAGCUCAGUGGUAGAGCAAUUGACUGCAGAUCAAUAGGUCUUCGGUUCAAAUCCGGAACGCCCCU